This 851-nucleotide ribosomal RNA is filed under the name Staphylococcus aureus. RNAcentral's name for it is "bacterial SSU rRNA". It matches the Rfam family "Bacterial small subunit ribosomal RNA", at positions 26 to 858 of the family's 1533-position model. The record is from RNAcentral. Lineage: Bacteria; Bacillati; Bacillota; Bacilli; Caryophanales; Staphylococcaceae.
AGGAUGAACGCUGGCGGCGUGCCUAAUACAUGCAAGUCGAGCGAACGGACGAGAAGCUUGCUUCUCUGAUGUUAGCGGCGGACGGGUGAGUAACACGUGGAUAACCUACCUAUAAGACUGGGAUAACUUCGGGAAACCGGAGCUAAUACCGGAUAAUAUUUUGAACCGCAUGGUUCAAAAGUGAAAGACGGUCUUGCUGUCACUUAUAGAUGGAUCCGCGCUGCAUUAGCUAGUUGGUAAGGUAACGGCUUACCAAGGCAACGAUGCAUAGCCGACCUGAGAGGGUGAUCGGCCACACUGGAACUGAGACACGGUCCAGACUCCUACGGGAGGCAGCAGUAGGGAAUCUUCCGCAAUGGGCGAAAGCCUGACGGAGCAACGCCGCGUGAGUGAUGAAGGUCUUCGGAUCGUAAAACUCUGUUAUUAGGGAAGAACAUAUGUGUAAGUAACUGUGCACAUCUUGACGGUACCUAAUCAGAAAGCCACGGCUAACUACGUGCCAGCAGCCGCGGUAAUACGUAGGUGGCAAGCGUUAUCCGGAAUUAUUGGGCGUAAAGCGCGCGUAGGCGGUUUUUUAAGUCUGAUGUGAAAGCCCACGGCUCAACCGUGGAGGGUCAUUGGAAACUGGAAAACUUGAGUGCAGAAGAGGAAAGUGGAAUUCCAUGUGUAGCGGUGAAAUGCGCAGAGAUAUGGAGGAACACCAGUGGCGAAGGCGACUUUCUGGUCUGUAACUGACGCUGAUGUGCGAAAGCGUGGGGAUCAAACAGGAUUAGAUACCCUGGUAGUCCACGCCGUAAACGAUGAGUGCUAAGUGUUAGGGGGUUUCCGCCCCUUAGUGCUGCAGCUAACGC